AUGGGUGCCCCGACGUUGCCCCCUGCCUGGCAGCCCUUUCUCAAGGACCACCGCAUCUCUACAUUCAAGAACUGGCCCUUCUUGGAGGGCUGCGCCUGCACCCCGGAGCGGAUGGCCGAGGCUGGCUUCAUCCACUGCCCCACUGAGAACGAGCCAGACUUGGCCCAGUGUUUCUUCUGCUUCAAGGAGCUGGAAGGCUGGGAGCCAGAUGACGACCCCAUAGAGGAACAUAAAAAGCAUUCGUCCGGUUGCGCUUUCCUUUCUGUCAAGAAGCAGUUUGAAGAAUUAACCCUUGGUGAAUUUUUGAAACUGGACAGAGAAAGAGCCAAGAACAAAAUUGGUCUUACUCUGUCACCCAGGCUGAGUGCAGUGGUGUGAUCUUGGCUCACCUCAGCCUCGACCCCCUGGGCUCAAAUGAUUCUCCCACCUCAGCUUCCCAAGUAGCUGGGACCACAGGCAAAGGAAACCAACAAUAAGAAGAAAGAAUUUGAGGAAACUGCGGAGAAAGUGCGCCGUGCCAUCGAGCAGCUGGCUGCCAUGGAUUGAGGCCUCUGGCCGGAGCUGCCUGGUCCCAGAGUGGCUGCACCACUUCCAGGGUUUAUUCCCUGGUGCCACCAGCCUUCCUGUGGGCCCCUUAGCAAUGUCUUAGGAAAGGAGAUCAACAUUUUCAAAUUAGAUGUUUCAACUGUGCUCUUGUUUUGUCUUGAAAGUGGCACCAGAGGUGCUUCUGCCUGUGCAGCGGGUGCUGCUGGUAACAGUGGC
RNAcentral lists this unclassified non-coding RNA (762 nucleotides) under Homo sapiens (human). Its description in RNAcentral is "partial baculoviral IAP repeat containing 5 transcript variant 12". The record is from RNAcentral. Lineage: Eukaryota; Metazoa; Chordata; Mammalia; Primates; Hominidae.